RNAcentral lists this ribosomal RNA (243 nucleotides) under uncultured bacterium. RNAcentral describes it as "partial 16S ribosomal RNA". It matches the Rfam family "Bacterial small subunit ribosomal RNA", at positions 524 to 766 of the family's 1533-position model. The record is from RNAcentral.
UACGGAGGGUGCGAGCGUUGUCCGGAAUCACUGGGCGUAAAGGGCGCGUAGGCGGCGCGGGAAGUCCGUGGUGAAAGCCCGAGGCUCAACUUCGGGUCGGCCAUGGAUACUCCUGGGCUUGAGCACUGUAGAGGCAGGUGGAAUUCCGGGUGUAGCGGUGGAAUGCGUAGAGAUCCGGAAGAACACCGGUGGCGAAGGCGGCCUGCUGGGACAGUGCUGACGCUGAGGCGCGACAGCGUGGGG